RNAcentral lists this ribosomal RNA (231 nucleotides) under uncultured Eubacteriales bacterium. RNAcentral describes it as "uncultured Clostridiales bacterium partial 16S ribosomal RNA". It matches the Rfam family "Bacterial small subunit ribosomal RNA", at positions 103 to 334 of the family's 1533-position model. The record is from RNAcentral. Lineage: Bacteria; Bacillati; Bacillota; Clostridia; Eubacteriales.
CGGAUGAGUAACGCGUGAGUAACCUGCCUUACACAAGGGGAUAGCCGUUGGAAACGACGAAUAAUACCCUAUGAAACUAUCACUUCGCAUGAAGCGAUAGUCAAAGUGUUAGCGGUGUAAGAUGGACUUGCGUCUGAUUAGCUAGUUGGUGAGAAAAAAGCCCACCAAGGCAACGAUCAGUAGCCGGCUUGAGGGAGUGUACGGCCACAUUGGGACUGAGACACGGCCCAG